RNAcentral lists this ribosomal RNA (687 nucleotides) under Citricoccus zhacaiensis. RNAcentral's name for it is "bacterial SSU rRNA". It matches the Rfam family "Bacterial small subunit ribosomal RNA", at positions 819 to 1501 of the family's 1533-position model. Lineage: Bacteria; Bacillati; Actinomycetota; Actinomycetes; Micrococcales; Micrococcaceae. The record is from RNAcentral.
GGUGUGGGGGCCAUUCCACGGUUUCCGCGCCGCAGCUAACGCAUUAAGUGCCCCGCCUGGGGAGUACGGCCGCAAGGCUAAAACUCAAAGGAAUUGACGGGGGCCCGCACAAGCGGCGGAGCAUGCGGAUUAAUUCGAUGCAACGCGAAGAACCUUACCAAGGCUUGACAUGUUCCCGACCGCCACAGAGAUGUGGUUUCCCCUUUGGGGCGGGUUCACAGGUGGUGCAUGGUUGUCGUCAGCUCGUGUCGUGAGAUGUUGGGUUAAGUCCCGCAACGAGCGCAACCCUCGUUCCAUGUUGCCAGCGGGUUAUGCCGGGGACUCAUGGGAGACUGCCGGGGUCAACUCGGAGGAAGGUGGGGACGACGUCAAAUCAUCAUGCCCCUUAUGUCUUGGGCUUCACGCAUGCUACAAUGGCCGGUACAAUGGGUUGCGAUACUGUGAGGUGGAGCCAAUCCCAAAAAGCCGGUCUCAGUUCGGAUUGGGGUCUGCAACUCGACCCCAUGAAGUCGGAGUCGCUAGUAAUCGCAGAUCAGCAACGCUGCGGUGAAUACGUUCCCGGGCCUUGUACACACCGCCCGUCAAGUCACGAAAGUCGGUAACACCCGAAGCCGGUGGCCCAACCCUUGUGGGGGGAGCCGUCGAAGGUGGGACUGGCGAUUGGGACUAAGUCGUCAAGGGGUAACC